GAGACAGGUGCUGCAUGGCUGUCGUCAGCUCGUGUUGUGAAGUGUUGGGUUAAGUCCCGCAACGAGCGCAACCCUUAUCCUUUGUUGCCAGCGAUUCGGUCGGGAACUCAAAGGAAACUGCCGGUGAUAAACCGGAGGAAGGGGGGGAUGACGUCAAGUCUUCAGGCCCCUUACGAGUGGGGCUACACACGUGCUACAAGGGCGCAUACAAAGAGAAGCGACCUCGCGAGAGCAAGCGGACCUCACAAAGUGCGUCGUAUUCCGGAUCGGAGUCUGCAACUCGACUCCGUGAAGUCGGAA
This 300-nucleotide ribosomal RNA is filed under the name uncultured Gammaproteobacteria bacterium. RNAcentral's name for it is "bacterial SSU rRNA". It matches the Rfam family "Bacterial small subunit ribosomal RNA", at positions 1031 to 1331 of the family's 1533-position model. Lineage: Bacteria; Pseudomonadati; Pseudomonadota; Gammaproteobacteria. The record is from RNAcentral.